GUUCUCGUAGUUGAAUUACAACGGUGUUUUUUCAAGUCAUAGGUCUUGGUUAGAAUCCAGGCGGGAAUU
RNAcentral lists this transfer RNA (69 nucleotides) under Phenacogrammus interruptus (Congo tetra). Its description in RNAcentral is "tRNA-Glu". It matches the Rfam family "tRNA". Rfam says of the family: Transfer RNA (tRNA) molecules are approximately 80 nucleotides in length. Their secondary structure includes four short double-helical elements and three loops (D, anti-codon, and T loops). Further hydrogen bonds mediate the characteristic L-shaped molecular structure. tRNAs have two regions of fundamental functional importance: the anti-codon, which is responsible for specific mRNA codon recognition, and the 3' end, to which the tRNAs corresponding amino acid is attached (by aminoacyl-tRNA synthetases). tRNAs cope with the degeneracy of the genetic code in two manners: having more than one tRNA (with a specific anti-codon) for a particular amino acid; and 'wobble' base-pairing, i.e. permitting non-standard base-pairing at the 3rd anti-codon position. The record is from RNAcentral. Lineage: Eukaryota; Metazoa; Chordata; Actinopteri; Characiformes; Alestidae.